This 213-nucleotide ribosomal RNA is filed under the name uncultured prokaryote. RNAcentral's name for it is "partial 16S ribosomal RNA". It matches the Rfam family "Bacterial small subunit ribosomal RNA", at positions 524 to 736 of the family's 1533-position model. The record is from RNAcentral.
UACGAAGGGGGCUAGCGUUGUUCGGAUUUACUGGGCGUAAAGGGCGCGUAGGCGGUUUUGUAAGUCAGGCGUGAAAGCCCCGGGCUCAACCCGGGAAUUGCGCUUGAUACUGCGGAACUUGAAUCCAGGAGAGGAUGGCGGAAUUCCCAGUGUAGAGGUGAAAUUCGUAGAUAUUGGGAAGAACACCGGUGGCGAAGGCGGCUCACUGGCUCG